RNAcentral lists this ribosomal RNA (484 nucleotides) under uncultured bacterium. RNAcentral describes it as "partial 16S ribosomal RNA". It matches the Rfam family "Bacterial small subunit ribosomal RNA", at positions 30 to 507 of the family's 1533-position model. The record is from RNAcentral.
AUUGAACGCUGGCGGCAGGCCUAACACAUGCAAGUCGAGCGGAUGAAGGGAGCUUGCUCCUGGAUUCAGCGGCGGACGGGUGAGUAAUGCCUAGGAAUCUGCCUGGUAGUGGGGGAUAACGUCCGGAAACGGGCGCUAAUACCGCAUACGUCCUGAGGGAGAAAGUGGGGGAUCUUCGGACCUCACGCUAUCAGAUGAGCCUAGGUCGGAUUAGCUAGUUGGUGGGGUAAAGGCCUACCAAGGCGACGAUCCGUAACUGGUCUGAGAGGAUGAUCAGUCACACUGGAACUGAGACACGGUCCAGACUCCUACGGGAGGCAGCAGUGGGGAAUAUUGGACAAUGGGCGAAAGCCUGAUCCAGCCAUGCCGCGUGUGUGAAGUAUGUCUUCGGAUUGUAAAGCACUUUAAGUUGGGAGGAAGGGCAGUAAGUUAAUACCUUGCUGUUUUGACGUUACCAACAGAAUAAGCACCGGCUAACUUCGUG